RNAcentral lists this transfer RNA (72 nucleotides) under Enterococcus faecalis EnGen0233. RNAcentral's name for it is "tRNA-Glu". It matches the Rfam family "tRNA". Rfam says of the family: Transfer RNA (tRNA) molecules are approximately 80 nucleotides in length. Their secondary structure includes four short double-helical elements and three loops (D, anti-codon, and T loops). Further hydrogen bonds mediate the characteristic L-shaped molecular structure. tRNAs have two regions of fundamental functional importance: the anti-codon, which is responsible for specific mRNA codon recognition, and the 3' end, to which the tRNAs corresponding amino acid is attached (by aminoacyl-tRNA synthetases). tRNAs cope with the degeneracy of the genetic code in two manners: having more than one tRNA (with a specific anti-codon) for a particular amino acid; and 'wobble' base-pairing, i.e. permitting non-standard base-pairing at the 3rd anti-codon position. The record is from RNAcentral. Lineage: Bacteria; Bacillati; Bacillota; Bacilli; Lactobacillales; Enterococcaceae.
GGCCCGUUGGUCAAGCGGUUAAGACACCGCCCUUUCACGGCGGUAACACGGGUUCGAGUCCCGUACGGGUAG